NNNNNNUUUGGCUAAGAUCAAGUGUAGUAUCUGUUCUUAUCAGUUUAAUAUCUGAUAUGUCCUCUAUUUGAGGACUACAUAUUAAAUGGAUUUUUAGAGCUGGACGAUGGAAGAGGGGCUUGCUCCAGCCACUCCAAGCAUCAACCUGGUGUUGCAGUGCCUCCAGGAAUGGUGCACCUUCC
Molecule: small nuclear RNA, 182 nt
Filed under: Pogona vitticeps (central bearded dragon)
Lineage: Eukaryota; Metazoa; Chordata; Lepidosauria; Squamata; Agamidae
Description: U2 spliceosomal RNA (ENSPVIG00000010036.1)
Rfam family: U2 spliceosomal RNA
About the family: U2 is a small nuclear RNA (snRNA) component of the spliceosome (involved in pre-mRNA splicing). Complementary binding between U2 snRNA (in an area lying towards the 5' end but 3' to hairpin I) and the branchpoint sequence (BPS) of the intron results the bulging out of an unpaired adenosine, on the BPS, which initiates a nucleophilic attack at the intronic 5' splice site, thus starting the first of two transesterification reactions that mediate splicing.
Source: Rfam by way of RNAcentral